RNAcentral lists this transfer RNA (73 nucleotides) under Methanomassiliicoccales archaeon. RNAcentral's name for it is "tRNA-Val". It matches the Rfam family "tRNA". From Rfam's summary of the family: Transfer RNA (tRNA) molecules are approximately 80 nucleotides in length. Their secondary structure includes four short double-helical elements and three loops (D, anti-codon, and T loops). The record is from RNAcentral. Lineage: Archaea; Methanobacteriati; Thermoplasmatota; Thermoplasmata; Methanomassiliicoccales.
GGGCUCAUGGUCUAGUGGUCAUGACAACGCCCUUACACGGCGUAGGUCCCCGGUUCGAAUCCGGGUGAGCCCA